Molecule: transfer RNA, 73 nt
Filed under: Clostridioides difficile
Lineage: Bacteria; Bacillati; Bacillota; Clostridia; Peptostreptococcales; Peptostreptococcaceae
Description: tRNA-Lys
Rfam family: tRNA (bases 7-62)
About the family: Transfer RNA (tRNA) molecules are approximately 80 nucleotides in length. Their secondary structure includes four short double-helical elements and three loops (D, anti-codon, and T loops). Further hydrogen bonds mediate the characteristic L-shaped molecular structure. tRNAs have two regions of fundamental functional importance: the anti-codon, which is responsible for specific mRNA codon recognition, and the 3' end, to which the tRNAs corresponding amino acid is attached (by aminoacyl-tRNA synthetases). tRNAs cope with the degeneracy of the genetic code in two manners: having more than one tRNA (with a specific anti-codon) for a particular amino acid; and 'wobble' base-pairing, i.e. permitting non-standard base-pairing at the 3rd anti-codon position.
Source: RNAcentral
UGUCUAAGCUAGUCGGUAGAGCACCUGACUUUUAAUCAGGGUGUCCCGCGUUCGAGUCGCGGAUAGAUCACCA